Coffea arabica (coffee) is the source of this 3487-nucleotide RNA transcript. It is a transcript of the gene named gamma-tubulin complex component 3, with no coding region annotated. Lineage: Eukaryota; Viridiplantae; Streptophyta; Magnoliopsida; Gentianales; Rubiaceae. The record is from RefSeq and is a predicted model, not a curated record.
ACUUUCCCCGCCCAUCCAUAUUAAAUCAAAAAUCAAAAUUCCCACAAACCCUUCCACACCUCCACUUCUCACUGCCCUCCGCUCUCGUCUGUCCAGCCAUGGAAGACGACGAUCAGAAGGUCCUAGAUCUAAUCAAAGAACUGGUCCACCGCUUACUCUACACCUCCCAGCACCCAAACCCCUCCCCGUCAGCCUCCUCAAACCCUAAUUCCUCCUCCUCCUCCUCCCCCACUACCCAUCAAUAUCAGCAAGCUCUCCGGUAUGCCCUUCGCAUUCUCUCCAGUCGGAUGACCCCAUCAAUUGCCCCCGACGAUGCCGCAAUGGCCGAGUCCAUUAAACGCCGCCUCGCCACCCAAGGUAAAUCCUCCGAAGCCCUUACUUUUACGGAUCUUUACUCCAAGUUUUCAUCCAAAACGGGCCCCGGAAGCGUGAAAAAUAAAUGGGGUGUGCUUUAUUUGCUAAAAACGAUCUCUGAUGAUCGGAAAUUGCUGAAAAAUCAGUCCAUUUCUAGGGUUUCUAAUGGAUUCUUCGACCCCGCCUCGGUCGGCGGAUUGCCGGCAUUGUUUGAUAGUGACUUGAGCGACAGAGUUAGUGUUGUUAAUGAACAUUACAAGAAUUUGAGUGAUUUGGAUGACAAGCAUUUUUCGCAUAAUUUGGGGGGUUCUAGUGAUAAUUUGAAAAAAUUGAGGGGUUUGAAUAGUUUUGGGAAGGUGGAGAAGAAAUGGGGUGAUAGUGCUUUCAAUGAGAAUUUUGAGAAAUUGAGGGUUUCAGGGGAGGGUUCGAGGGGUUUCAAGGGUCGGGAGAAUGUGGGCAAGGGUUGGAGUGGAGGGGUUUUAAUGGUUUCGAAGGACCCGGAAAAUAUUCGUCAUUUGGCGUAUAAGGAGUUUGCAGCACUGUUAAGGGAAGAGAAUGAGGUUUCAGAGGAGGCCUUGGUGAGGGAUGUGUUGUAUGCUUGCCAAGGGAUUGAUGGGAACUAUGUGAAGUUUGAUGAGAAAGCUGAUGGUUAUAUGUUGCCUGAGUUAGUGAAGGUCUCAAGAGCAACUCAUGUUAUGGUUCGGAAGCUUUGUGAGCUUGGAUGGUUGUUUAGGAAAGUGAAGGGUUAUAUUUCAGAAAGUAUGGAGAGGUUUCCAGCUGAGGAUGUAGGGACUGUUGGGCAAGCAUUUUGUGCCGCCUUGCAGGAUGAGCUGUCAGAAUACUAUAAGUUGCUUGCAGUUCUUGAAGGUCAGGCAAUGAACCCGAUUCCACUGGUUUCGGAGAGUGCAACUUCGGGGAAUUAUCUUUCAUUAAGGAGAUUGUCAGUUUGGUUUGCUGAGCCAAUGGUAAAGAUGAGAUUAAUGGCAGUUUUGGUUGAUAGUUGUAAGACUUUGAAAGGUGGGGCUAUGGCGGGGGCAAUUCACAUGCAAGCCCAACAUGGUGAUCCACUUGUGAAACAGUUCAUGAAAAGAUUACUCCGAUGGGUGUGUUCCCCUCUUUUUGAAAUGGUUAGGAGUUGGGUUCUAGAAGGAGAGCUUGAAGAUAUUUUUGCUGAAUUCUUUGUUUUAAGUCAACCAGUUAAAGCCGAGUCGCUCUGGAGGGAAGGUUACAGUCUGCAUUCUGCAAUGCUUCCUUCUUUUAUUUCGUCUUCUCUGGCUCAGCGGAUUUUAAGGACAGGGAAGUCAAUUAAUUUCCUUAGAGUUUGUUGUGAGGAUCGUGGUUGGGCUGAUGCAGCAGCAGAAGCUGCUACUGCUGCUGGGACUACCACAGGGAGAGGUAAUCUUGGUUAUGGUGAAACUGAUGCACUUGAAUCUCUAGUUGCGGAAGCUGCCAAGAGGAUUGAUAAGCAUUUGUUGGAUGUUAUGUACAAUAGAUACAAAUUCAAGGAACAUUGCCUCGCAAUUAAACGCUAUUUGCUCCUUGGGCAGGGUGAUUUUGUACAGUAUCUUAUGGAUAUUGUCGGUCCGGAACUGUCUGAACCUGCUAAUACAAUCAGUUCAUUCAAGCUUGCAGGACUACUGGAAAGUGCAAUCAGGUCAUCUAAUGCACAGUAUGAUGAUCCUGAUGUACUGGACGGGUUGAGGGUUAAGAUGAUGCCACAUAACACUGGGGACAGAGGCUGGGAUGUAUUUUCACUGGAAUAUGAUGCCAGAGUUCCACUAAAUACAGUUUUUACUGAAUCCGUUAUGGCUAGAUAUCUGAGGAUAUUCAACUUUUUAUGGAAGCUGAGGAGAGUAGAGCAUGCUCUUAUUGGUGCUUGGAAAACCAUGAAACCAAAUUCUGUUACUUCUCGUUUCCUUGAUAAGCUCCCAAAUGCUGUUAAGUUGCAGUUGGUUCUGACAUCAAGGAGAUGCCAAGUUCUUUGGGAUGAGAUGAAUCAUUUUGUCACAAAUUUGCAAUAUUACAUCAUGUUUGAGGUCUUGGAAAUUUCAUGGUCCAAUUUCUUGAAAGAGAUGGAGAUAGCGAAAGAUCUUGAUGAUCUACUUCUGGCACAUGAGAAGUAUCUUUGUUCAAUUGUGGAGAAGUCUCUCCUUGGAGAGAGGUCACAAACUCUGAAUACAACUCUUUUUGUUUUGUUUGAUCUAAUAUUGCGGUUCCGCAGUCAUGCAGAUCGAUUAUAUGAAGGUAUUCAUGAGUUGCAAUCGAGAAGCACAGAAACUUCCCUGUCUUCACGUGAUAAAACAAAAUCUCGGGCCAACAAAAAUGACAAAUUAUCUGAACCUGGGUUGUGGCUUGGUGAAGGCAGGAAGGCUCUAACACAGCGUGCUGGAGAGUUCCUUCGAAAUAUUGGGAAGGAUUUAGAUGCAAUUGCAAACGAAUAUACCUCUGUGUUUGACGGGUUCAUUUCUCAAUUGCCGGUGCAGCAACACAUAGAUUUGAAGUUCCUCAUGUUCCGACUGGAUUUCACUGAAUUUUAUAGUCAUCUGCAGUCCAAAACUGGCACAAAGCUACUACCUUAGCACCCCUGUUAAGCGACAUUUUACUUUCUAAAGUGUGUAAGAUGUAUGCUUUCUUUAGUAGUUGCACAUCAUGUGUGCUUGUAGAUAGUCUCUUGGCUGUUGUAGAACAGGCCCUACAUUCUGUACAUAAUUAUUUGCUUUCAGAAGGCAUUCUUAAGUUCUUGAGCAGGUGUGCAGCUGCUCUUGGCUGUUGUACUUGAGCUGAAGUUCUUUUUCCAUGUAUUCGGCUUGUUUGGGAGUUUGAGUCUGAUUAAUGGAGAACAGCAGAGUUUUGCACCCUUUUAACGUGCAAGUCUGUAUGUACCUUUGUCUGACUCGGCAGCAUUGUGGAGUUCCAAAAUGUUAGGAUUUGUACUUUGCAUUGUUAGAUUUUUGUAAUUUGUUAAUAUCGAAGUGUUUAAUGGCUCCUUAUGAGGGGCUUUCUAGUUAUGUUGUAGUGAGCUUAUAGUGUGUUGGGUUCAGAAGUAGCUUCUGAUGGAAUAUCAACGGAACUAACAAUUGCCUAUUCAAUGUAUCUAAGUUCCAUAGAAGAGGAAAUUGCAGUUGAGGAUGAA